UACGAAGGUGGCAAGCGUUGUUCGGAUUUACUGGGCGUACAGGGCGCGUAGGCGGUUGGAUAAGCCCUCCGUGAAAUCUCCAGGCUUAACCUGGAAAGUGCAGAGGGGACUGUUCAGCUAGAGGAUGGGAGAGGAGAGCGGAAUUCCCGGUGUAGCGGUGAAAUGCGUAGAGAUCGGGAGGGAGGCCGGUGGCGAAGGCGGCGCUCUGGAACAUUUCUGACGCUGAGGCUCGAAAGCGUGGGGAGCAAACAGG
RNAcentral lists this ribosomal RNA (253 nucleotides) under uncultured bacterium. RNAcentral describes it as "partial 16S ribosomal RNA". It matches the Rfam family "Bacterial small subunit ribosomal RNA", at positions 524 to 776 of the family's 1533-position model. The record is from RNAcentral.